Molecule: ribosomal RNA, 253 nt
Filed under: uncultured bacterium
Lineage: Bacteria
Description: partial 16S ribosomal RNA
Rfam family: Bacterial small subunit ribosomal RNA
Source: RNAcentral
UACGUAGGGGGCAAGCGUUGUCCGGAAUCAUUGGGCGUAAAGAGCGUGUAGGCGGCCAGAUAAGUCCGCUGUGAAAUCUCGAGGCUCAACUUCGAGCUGUCGGUGGAAACUGUCUGGCUAGAGUCCGGAAGAGGAGAAUGGAAUUCCUGGUGUAGCGGUGAAAUGCGCAGAUAUCAGGAAGAACACCCGUGGCGAAGGCGGCUUUCUGGACAGUAACUGACGCUGAGGCGCGAAAGCUAGGGGAGCAAACAGG